This is a long non-coding RNA of Mustela erminea (ermine), 267 nucleotides long. RefSeq lists it as uncharacterized. The transcript is spliced from 2 exons. The record is from RefSeq and is a predicted model, not a curated record. Lineage: Eukaryota; Metazoa; Chordata; Mammalia; Carnivora; Mustelidae.
AAGAAAAGAAGCAGAAGAAGAACGAGACCCAGAAGAAGAAGCAGAAGCAGAAGAAGCAGCAGAAGAAACAAAAGCAGAAGUAGAAGUACCACCAUAAGCAGAACGAGAAACAGAAGGAGGAAAAGCUGAAGCAGAAGCAGCAGAGCCAAAACGAGAACCAGAAGAAGAAGCCAAAGCAGAAGUAGAAGAAGAAUAGAAGCAACAGGGGCAGAAGGAUAAACAGAAGAAGGAGAAGCAGUAGCUGAACCAGAACCAGAGGAAGCAGCA